RNAcentral lists this long non-coding RNA (510 nucleotides) under Sparus aurata (gilthead seabream). Its description in RNAcentral is "lncRNA (ENSSAUG00010027340.1)". The record is from RNAcentral. Lineage: Eukaryota; Metazoa; Chordata; Actinopteri; Spariformes; Sparidae.
AUGGAGAGGGAGAAGGAGGAACUGGAGAAAGAGAGGGAGGCUGAGCUGGAACUGGAGAGAGAAAGAGCGGAGAGGGAGAAAAAACUGAAGCUGGAGAGAGAAAAAACGGAAAGGGGGGAAGAACUGGAGAGGGAGAGGACAGAGCAGGAGGGGGAGAGAGACUUGGAGAGGGAGAGGGAGGAGUGGGAGUGGAGGAGGGCAGAGAUGGAGAGAAUGGGACAAAGAGGUUACGAUGAGGAGACUGGACAGCCAUACCCAUACCCUCCAGAGUAUUUUUACCUAAAGGGGCAACAAGGUGAGAGUGGGAAACCAGGAAAAAAGGGUGAAAUUGGUGAAAAAGGACAGAAGGUAAUGUACAAUGUUCAUUCAAAAGCUAAUAUCAACAUAGCUGUUGUAGCUUUUAGCAGUGCAAUGAGGAAAUGGUUUUGUGUUUUUGUGUUUUUAGGGAGAGCCAGGCAUCGGCCACAGAGGUCCAGAAGGCCAAGCAGGUCCUCCAGGGCAGAAGGGUGA